This 277-nucleotide ribosomal RNA is filed under the name uncultured eukaryote. RNAcentral's name for it is "partial 18S ribosomal RNA". It matches the Rfam family "Eukaryotic small subunit ribosomal RNA", at positions 21 to 303 of the family's 1831-position model. The record is from RNAcentral.
UAGUCAUAUGCUUGUCUCAAAGAUUAAGCCAUGCAUGUCUAAGUAUAAACAACUUUAUACUGUGAAACUGCGUACAGCUCAUUAUAUCAGUUAUAAUUUAUUUGAUGGUGAUUUACUACAUGGAUAACCGUGGUAAUUCUAGAGCUAAUACAUGCGUAAACUCCCGACUUACGAAGGGACGUAUUUAUUAGAUACAACCGACCUCCUUCGGGAGCCUUUUGUCGACUCAUAGUAACUUUUCGAAUCGCCAGCUUCGGCCAGCGAUAGUUCAUUCAAA